GGGCGGCACCUUGACGGUACCUAACCAGAAAGCCACGGCUAACUACGUGCCAGCAGCCGCGGUAAUACGUAGGUGGCAAGCGUUGUCCGGAAUUAUUGGGCGUAAAGCGCGCGCAGGCGGUUUCUUAAGUCUGAUGUGAAAGCCCCCGGCUCAACCGGGGAGGGUCAUUGGAAACUGGGGAACUUGAGUGCAGAAGAGGAGAGUGGAAUUCCACGUGUAGCGGUGAAAUGCGUAGAGAUGUGGAGGAACACCAGUGGCGAAGGCGACUCUCUGGUCUGCAACUGACGCUGAGGCGCGAAAGCGUGGGGAGCGAACAGGAUUAGAUACCCUGGUAGUCCACGCCGUAAACGAUGAGUGCUAAGUGUUAGAGGGUUUCCGCCCUUUAGUGCUGCAGCAAACGCAUUAAGCACUCCGCCUGGGGAGUACGGUCGCAAGACUGAAACUCAAAGGAAUUGACGGGGGGCCCGCACAAGCGGUGGAGCAUGUGGUUUAAUUCGAAGCAACGCGAAGAACCUUACCAGGUCUUGACAUCCUCUGACAACCCUAGAGAUAGGGCUUCCCCUUUGGGGGCAGAGUGACAGGUGGUGCAUGGUUGUCGUCAGCUCGUGUCGUGAGAUGUUGGGUUAAGUCCCGCAACGAGCGCAACCCUUGAUCUUAGUUGCCAGCAUUCAGUUGGGCACUCUAAGGUGACUGCCGGUGACAAACCGGAGGAAGGUGGGGAUGACGUCAAAUCAUCAUGCCCCUUAUGACCUGGGCUACACACGUGCUACAAUGGGCAGAACAAAGGGCAGCGAAGCCGCGAGGCUAAGCCAAUCCCACAAAUCUGUUCUCAGUUCGGAUCGCAGUCUGCAACUCGACUGCGUGAAGCUGGAAUCGCUAGUAAUCGCGGAUCAGCAUG
Molecule: ribosomal RNA, 898 nt
Filed under: Bacillus licheniformis
Lineage: Bacteria; Bacillati; Bacillota; Bacilli; Caryophanales; Bacillaceae
Description: bacterial SSU rRNA
Rfam family: Bacterial small subunit ribosomal RNA
Source: RNAcentral